UUUUGUAUAAUGGGUCAGCGACUUAUAUUCUGUAGCAAGGUUAACCGUAUAGGGGAGCCGGAGGGAAACCGAGUCUUAACCGGGCGUUAAGUUGCAGGGUAUAGACCCGAAACCCGGUGAUCUAGCCAUGGGCAGGUUGAAGGUUGGGUAACACUAACUGGAGGACCGAACCGACUAAUGUUGAAAAAUUAGCGGAUGACCUGUGGCUGGGGGUGAAAGGCCAAUCAAACCGGGAGAUAGCUGGUUCUCCCCGAAAGCUAUUUAGGUAGCGCCUCGUGAAUUCAUCUCCGGGGGUAGAGCACUGUUUCGGCUAGGGGGCCAUCCCGGCUUACCAACCCGAUGCAAACUGCGAAUACCGGAGAAUGUUAUCACGGGAGACACACGGCGGGUGCUAACGUCCGUCGUGAAGAGGGAAACAACCCAGACCGCCAGCUAAGGUCCCAAAGUCAUGGUUAAGUGGGAAACGAUGUGGGAAGGCCCAGACAGCCAGGAUGUUGGCUUAGAAGCAGCCAUCAUUUAAAGAAAGCGUAAUAGCUCACUGGUCGAGUCGGCCUGCGCGGAAGAUGUAACGGGGCUAAACCAU
This 583-nucleotide ribosomal RNA is filed under the name Salmonella enterica. RNAcentral describes it as "partial 23S ribosomal RNA". It matches the Rfam family "Bacterial large subunit ribosomal RNA", at positions 606 to 1190 of the family's 2925-position model. RNAcentral also lists the same sequence under 4 other names. Lineage: Bacteria; Pseudomonadati; Pseudomonadota; Gammaproteobacteria; Enterobacterales; Enterobacteriaceae. The record is from RNAcentral.